RNAcentral lists this ribosomal RNA (245 nucleotides) under uncultured bacterium. RNAcentral describes it as "partial 16S ribosomal RNA". It matches the Rfam family "Bacterial small subunit ribosomal RNA", at positions 524 to 768 of the family's 1533-position model. The record is from RNAcentral.
UACGUAGGUGGCAAGCGUUGUUCAGGGUUACUAGGUGUAAAGGAUGUGUAGGUGAGAAGGUAAGUCGUAAGUGAAAAUUUCAAGCUUAACUUGAAAAGGUCUUGCGAAACUAUCUUUUUUGAGUGUGGGAGAGGGAACUGGAAUUCCGGGUGUAGCGGUGAAAUGCGUAGAGAUCCGGAGGAACACCAAUGGCGAAGGCAGGUUCCUGGCCCAACACUGACACUGAGGCAUGAAAGCUAGGGGAG